This 460-nucleotide ribosomal RNA is filed under the name uncultured bacterium. RNAcentral describes it as "partial 16S ribosomal RNA". It matches the Rfam family "Bacterial small subunit ribosomal RNA", at positions 338 to 795 of the family's 1533-position model. The record is from RNAcentral.
CCUACGGGAGGCUGCAGUGCGGAAUAUUGGUCAAUGGGCGGGAGCCUGAACCAGCCAAGUCGCGUGCGGGAAGACGGUCCUACGGAUUGUAAACCGCUUUUGCCGGGGAGCAACUUGGGCCUUGCGAGUGCCCGAUGAGAGUACCUGCAGAACAAGAACCGGCUAACUCCGUGCAAGCAGCCGCGGUAAUACGGAGGAUGCGAGCGUUCUCCGGAUUGAUUGGGUUUAAGGGGUGCGUAGGCGGGCUGUUAAGUCGGCGGUAAAAUGUGGGGGCUCAACCCCGGCUGGCCGUUGAAACUGGCGGCCUAGAGUGGGCUAGAGGUAGGCGGAAGGCGUGGUGUAGCGGUGAAAUGCAGAGAUAUCACGCAGAACACCGAUUGCGAAGGCAGCAUACUGGGGCACGACGGACGCUGAGGCACGAAAGCGUGGGUAGCGAACAGGAUUAGAUACCCCAGUAGUC